Molecule: ribosomal RNA, 404 nt
Filed under: Verrucomicrobiota bacterium
Lineage: Bacteria; Pseudomonadati; Verrucomicrobiota
Description: Verrucomicrobia bacterium partial 16S ribosomal RNA
Rfam family: Bacterial small subunit ribosomal RNA
Source: RNAcentral
UGGGGAAUAUUGGACAAUGGGCGCAAGCCUGAUCCAGCCAUGCCGCGUGAGUGAUGAAGGCCCUAGGGUUGUAAAGCUCUUUCACCGGUGAAGAUAAUGACGGUAACCGGAGAAGAAGCCCCGGCUAACUUCGUGCCAGCAGCCGCGGUAAUACGAAGGGGGCUAGCGUUGUUCGGAUUUACUGGGCGUAAAGCGCACGUAGGCGGACUUUUAAGUCAGGGGUGAAAUCCCGGGGCUCAACCCCGUAACUGCCUUUGAUACUGGAAGUCUUGAGUAUGGUAGAGGUGAGUGGAAUUCCGAGUGUAGAGGUGAAAUUCGUAGAUAUUCGGAGGAACACCAGUGGCGAAGGCGGCUCACUGGACCAUUACUGACGCUGAGGUGCGAAAGCGUGGGGAGCAAACAGG